CUACGGGUGGCAGCAGUAGGGAAUCUUAGACAAUGGGGGAAACCCUGAUCUAGCCAUGCCGCGUGAGUGAUGAAGGCCUUAGGGUUGUAAAGCUCUUUCGCUGGGGAAGAUAAUGACGGUACCCAGUAAAGAAACCCCGGCUAAUUCCGUGCCAGCAGCCGCGGUAAUACGGAGGGGGGUUAGCGUUGUUCGGAAUUACUGGGCGUAAAGCGCGCGUAGGCGGGCUAUUAAGUCAGGGGUGAAAUCCCGGGGCUCAACCCCGGAACUGCCUUUGAUACUGGUAGUCUUGAGUUCGAGAGAGGUGAGUGGAAUUCCGGGUGUAGAGGUGAAAUUCGUAGAUAUUCGGAGGAACAUCAGUGGCGAAGGCGACUCACUGGCUCGAUACUGACGCUGAGGUGCGAAAGUGUGGGGAGCAAACAGGAUUAGAUACCCCGGUAGUC
RNAcentral lists this ribosomal RNA (440 nucleotides) under uncultured bacterium. RNAcentral's name for it is "partial 16S ribosomal RNA". It matches the Rfam family "Bacterial small subunit ribosomal RNA", at positions 339 to 795 of the family's 1533-position model. The record is from RNAcentral.